GAUGAACGCUGGCGGCGUGCCUAAGACAUGCAAGUCGAGUGGUUAACCUCGGUUAACCACGGCGAACGGGUGAGUAAUACCUAGGAACGUUCCUUUAGUUGGGCAUAACCCGCCGAAAGGCGGGAUAAUUCCCGAUGUGACCGCAAGGUUAAAGUCGCAAGACGCUAAAGGUGCGGCCUGGGCACCAUCAGCUUGUUGGUAAGGUAAUGGCUUACCAAGGCUAUGACGGUUA
RNAcentral lists this ribosomal RNA (232 nucleotides) under uncultured bacterium. Its description in RNAcentral is "partial 16S ribosomal RNA". It matches the Rfam family "Bacterial small subunit ribosomal RNA", at positions 28 to 285 of the family's 1533-position model. The record is from RNAcentral.